This 1251-nucleotide ribosomal RNA is filed under the name Acinetobacter calcoaceticus. RNAcentral's name for it is "bacterial SSU rRNA". It matches the Rfam family "Bacterial small subunit ribosomal RNA", at positions 97 to 1343 of the family's 1533-position model. Lineage: Bacteria; Pseudomonadati; Pseudomonadota; Gammaproteobacteria; Moraxellales; Moraxellaceae. The record is from RNAcentral. RNAcentral also lists the same sequence under 1 other name.
GGCGGACGGGUGAGUAAUGCUUAGGAAUCUGCCUAUUAGUGGGGGACAACAUUCCGAAAGGAAUGCUAAUACCGCAUACGCCCUACGGGGGAAAGCAGGGGAUCUUCGGACCUUGCGCUAAUAGAUGAGCCUAAGUCGGAUUAGCUAGUUGGUGGGGUAAAGGCCUACCAAGGCGACGAUCUGUAGCGGGUCUGAGAGGAUGAUCCGCCACACUGGGACUGAGACACGGCCCAGACUCCUACGGGAGGCAGCAGUGGGGAAUAUUGGACAAUGGGCGCAAGCCUGAUCCAGCCAUGCCGCGUGUGUGAAGAAGGCCUUUUGGUUGUAAAGCACUUUAAGCGAGGAGGAGGCUCCUUUAGUUAAUACCUAAAGUGAGUGGACGUUACUCGCAGAAUAAGCACCGGCUAACUCUGUGCCAGCAGCCGCGGUAAUACAGAGGGUGCGAGCGUUAAUCGGAUUUACUGGGCGUAAAGCGUGCGUAGGCGGCUUUUUAAGUCGGAUGUGAAAUCCCUGAGCUUAACUUAGGAAUUGCAUUCGAUACUGGAAAGCUAGAGUAUGGGAGAGGAUGGUAGAAUUCCAGGUGUAGCGGUGAAAUGCGUAGAGAUCUGGAGGAAUACCGAUGGCGAAGGCAGCCAUCUGGCCUAAUACUGACGCUGAGGUACGAAAGCAUGGGGAGCAAACAGGAUUAGAUACCCUGGUAGUCCAUGCCGUAAACGAUGUCUACUAGCCGUUGGGGCCUUUGAGGCUUUAGUGGCGCAGCUAACGCGAUAAGUAGACCGCCUGGGGAGUACGGUCGCAAGACUAAAACUCAAAUGAAUUGACGGGGGCCCGCACAAGCGGUGGAGCAUGUGGUUUAAUUCGAUGCAACGCGAAGAACCUUACCUGGCCUUGACAUACUAAGAACUUUCCAGAGAUGGAUUGGUGCCUUCGGGAACUUAGAUACAGGUGCUGCAUGGCUGUCGUCAGCUCGUGUCGUGAGAUGUUGGGUUAAGUCCCGCAACGAGCGCAACCCUUUUCCUUAUUUGCCAGCGGGUAAUGCCGGGAACUUUAAGGAUACUGCCAGUGACAAACUGGAGGAAGGCGGGGACGACGUCAAGUCAUCAUGGCCCUUACGGCCAGGGCUACACACGUGCUACAAUGGUCGGUACAAAGGGUUGCUACCUCGCGAGAGGAUGCUAAUCUCAAAAAGCCGAUCGUAGUCCGGAUCGCAGUCUGCAACUCGACUGCGUGAAGUCGGAAUCGCUAGUAAUC